UGAUAGAGGCGCGGGAGUCAUCAGUACCGGGAAGGCUGAAGCUUGGAAGGCUGCCUUCCGGGGAAAGGGGCGUCCGCCGAAGGGAGAGAAGAGUUUCCGGCUUUUGUCCCUGGGCCGCAGGCAGAAUAUGCCCCGGACUGUCACAUUCGUGGAGCGCUAUCA
This 162-nucleotide non-coding RNA is filed under the name Massilistercora timonensis. RNAcentral describes it as "Lysine riboswitch". It matches the Rfam family "Lysine riboswitch aptamer". From Rfam's summary of the family: Riboswitches are metabolite binding domains within certain messenger RNAs that serve as precision sensors for their corresponding targets. Allosteric rearrangement of mRNA structure is mediated by ligand binding, and this results in modulation of gene expression. Lineage: Bacteria; Bacillati; Bacillota; Clostridia; Eubacteriales. The record is from RNAcentral.